Molecule: transfer RNA, 73 nt
Filed under: Zootermopsis nevadensis
Lineage: Eukaryota; Metazoa; Arthropoda; Insecta; Blattodea; Termopsidae
Rfam family: tRNA
About the family: Transfer RNA (tRNA) molecules are approximately 80 nucleotides in length. Their secondary structure includes four short double-helical elements and three loops (D, anti-codon, and T loops).
Source: Rfam by way of RNAcentral
GUCACGGUGGUCUAGCGGUCAGAACACUAGCCUUAUAAGCCUGGGGUCCCGGGUUCAACUCCCGGUGGUGCCC